RNAcentral lists this transfer RNA (73 nucleotides) under Rhodothermales bacterium. RNAcentral describes it as "tRNA-Phe". It matches the Rfam family "tRNA". From Rfam's summary of the family: Transfer RNA (tRNA) molecules are approximately 80 nucleotides in length. Lineage: Bacteria; Pseudomonadati; Rhodothermota; Rhodothermia; Rhodothermales. The record is from RNAcentral.
GGUCAGGUAGCUCAGUCGGUAGAGCAAUGGACUGAAAAUCCAUGUGUCGGCGGUUCGAUUCCGCCCCUGACCA